Molecule: ribosomal RNA, 253 nt
Filed under: uncultured bacterium
Lineage: Bacteria
Description: partial 16S ribosomal RNA
Rfam family: Bacterial small subunit ribosomal RNA
Source: RNAcentral
UACGUAGGCGGCAAGCGUUAUCCGGAAUUACUGGGCGUAAAGCGCACGCAGGCGGCUGCGUAAGUCUGACGUGAAAUCUCCGGGCUUAACUCGGAACGGUCAAGUGAUACUGUCGGACUAGAGUACAGAAGGGGCAACUGGAAUUCUCGGUGUAGCGGUGAAAUGCGUAGAUAUCGAGAGGAACACCUGCGGCGAAGGCGGGUUGCUGGGCUGAUACUGACGCUGAGGCGCGAAAGCCAGGGGAGCGAACGGG